AAGGUCCUAGCUUAAUUAAAGCGUCUGAGUUGCAUUCAGGAAAUGUAGGGUAGUGUCCUGCGGAUCUUA
This 69-nucleotide transfer RNA is filed under the name Oedistoma pygmaeum. RNAcentral's name for it is "tRNA-Ala". It matches the Rfam family "tRNA". Rfam says of the family: Transfer RNA (tRNA) molecules are approximately 80 nucleotides in length. Their secondary structure includes four short double-helical elements and three loops (D, anti-codon, and T loops). The record is from RNAcentral. Lineage: Eukaryota; Metazoa; Chordata; Aves; Passeriformes; Melanocharitidae.